AACGGAUCUCUUGGUUCUGGCAUCGAUGAAGAACGCAGCGAAAUGCGAUAAGUAAUGUGAAUUGCAGAAUUCCGUGAAUCAUCGAAUCUUUGAACGCACAUUGCGCCCUUUGGUAUUCCGAAGGGCAUGCCUGUUCGAGCGUCAUUGCAACCCUCAAG
RNAcentral lists this ribosomal RNA (158 nucleotides) under Physcia caesia. RNAcentral's name for it is "5,8S ribosomal RNA". It matches the Rfam family "5.8S ribosomal RNA". From Rfam's summary of the family: 5.8S ribosomal RNA (5.8S rRNA) is a component of the large subunit of the eukaryotic ribosome. Lineage: Eukaryota; Fungi; Ascomycota; Lecanoromycetes; Caliciales; Physciaceae. The record is from RNAcentral.